AAUCUACCCUUAACCGGGGGAUAGCCCCGAGAAAUCGGGAUUAAUACCCCAUAAUAUUAUGAUGAGGCAUCUCAUUAUAAUUAAAGUUCCGGCGGUUUUGGAUGAGCAUGCGCGACAUUAGCUAAUUGGCGAGGUAACGGCUCACCAAGGCUUCGAUGUCUAGGGGUUCUGAGAGGAUUCACCCCCACACUGGUACUGAGACACGGACCAGACUCCUACGGGAGGCAGCAGUAAGGAAUAUUGGUCAAUGGGCGCAAGCCUGAACCAGCCAUGCCGCGUGAAGGAAGACGGCCCUACGGGUUGUAAACUUCUUUUGUACGGGAAAAAAUCACCGGUCGUGAACCGGUGUUGAUGGUACCGUAAGAAUAAGCAUCGGCUAACUCCGUGCCAGCAGCCGCGGUAAUACGGAGGAUGCAAGCGUUAUCCGGAUUCAUUGGGUUUAAAGGGUGCGCAGGCGGAAUGAUAAGU
This 468-nucleotide ribosomal RNA is filed under the name uncultured bacterium. Its description in RNAcentral is "bacterial SSU rRNA". It matches the Rfam family "Bacterial small subunit ribosomal RNA", at positions 123 to 588 of the family's 1533-position model. The record is from RNAcentral.